ACGGAUGAAAAUCCACGAGGGGCUGGGUUUGGGUGGGUUCCCAUCCCUUUCCCACUGGCAGGUGCCAGCCUGCCCUGGGGGAACAGGAGCUCUUUCCUUGGUGGCAGCCUCAAUUCUCACCCCAAAUAAUCCCAAAUUUCUGGGUUUUCUGCCCAGGGGGCACAGGAGCUCUCUCUCCUUGGUGGCAGGGCAGCCUCAAUUCUCACCCCAAUCCCAAAUUUCUGGGUUGCCUGCCCAAGGGGAACAGGAGCUCUCUCUCCUUGGUAGCAGCCUCGAUUUUCACCCCAUAAUCCCAAAUUUCUGGGGUGCCUGCCCAGGGGGAACAGGAGUUCUUUCUCCUUGGUGGCAGGGUAGCCUCAAUUCUCACCCCAAUCCCAAAUUUCUGGGUUUUCUGCCCAGAGGGAACAGGAGCUCUCUCUCCUUGGUGGCAGCCCCAAUUCUCACCCCAAUCCCAAAUCUCUGCGUUGCAGAUUCCUCAGGAAACAAGGAUAAACUCCAAACGAGGAGAUGGCAGAGUUGUGAUCCCCACAGUGAAUCCUGCCGGCUCUGAGGACACCAAGCCCUGCUCUGUGCCACCUCCC
Molecule: long non-coding RNA, 581 nt
Filed under: Zonotrichia albicollis (white-throated sparrow)
Lineage: Eukaryota; Metazoa; Chordata; Aves; Passeriformes; Passerellidae
Description: lncRNA (ENSZALG00000007280.1)
Source: RNAcentral